GGCAGGCCUACACAUGCAAGUCGAGCGCACCUUCGGGUGAGCGGCGGACGGGUUAGUAACGCGUGGGAACAUACCCUUUUCUACGGAAUAGCCUCGGGAAACUGAGAGUAAUACCGUAUAAGCCCUUCGGGGGAAAGAUUUAUCGGGAAAGGAUUGGCCCGCGUUAGAUUAGAUAGUUGGUGGGGUAAUGGCCUACCAAGUCUACGAUCUAUAGCUGGUUUUAGAGGAUGAUCAGCAACACUGGGACUGAGACACGGCCCAGACUCCUACGGGAGGCAGCAGUGGGGAAUCUUAGACAAUGGGCGCAAGCCUGAUCUAGCCAUGCCGCGUGUGUGAUGAAGGUCUUAGGAUCGUAAAGCACUUUCGCCAGGGAUGAUAAUGACAGUACCUGGUAAAGAAACCCCGGCUAACUCCGUGCCAGCAGCCGCGGUAAUACGGAGGGGGUUAGCGUUGUUCGGAAUUACUGGGCGUAAAGAGUACGUCGGCGGAUUGGAAAGUUGGGGGUGAAAAUCCCUGGG
Molecule: ribosomal RNA, 518 nt
Filed under: Sulfitobacter sp.
Lineage: Bacteria; Pseudomonadati; Pseudomonadota; Alphaproteobacteria; Rhodobacterales; Roseobacteraceae
Description: bacterial SSU rRNA
Rfam family: Bacterial small subunit ribosomal RNA
Source: RNAcentral